This 119-nucleotide ribosomal RNA is filed under the name Schistocerca americana (American grasshopper). The record is from RNAcentral. Lineage: Eukaryota; Metazoa; Arthropoda; Insecta; Orthoptera; Acrididae.
GCCAACGGCCAUACCACGUUGAGUACACCGGUUCUCGUCCGAUCACCGAAGUUAAGCAACAUCGGGCGUGGUUAGUACUUGGAUGGGUGACCACUUGGGAACACCACGUGCUGUUGGCU